Molecule: ribosomal RNA, 450 nt
Filed under: uncultured bacterium
Lineage: Bacteria
Description: bacterial SSU rRNA
Rfam family: Bacterial small subunit ribosomal RNA
Source: RNAcentral
AACGAACGCUGGCGGCAUGCCUAACACAUGCAAGUCGAACGAGGCCUUCGGGUCUAGUGGCGCACGGGUGCGUAACGCGUGGGAAUCUGCCCUUGGGUUCGGAAUAACAGUGGGAAACUACUGCUAAUACCGGAUGAUGACGUAAGUCCAAAGAUUUAUCGCCCAAGGAUGAGCCCGCGUAGGAUUAGCUAGUUGGUGAGGUAAAGGCUCACCAAGGCGACGAUCCUUAGCNGGUCUGAGAGGAUGAUCAGCCACACUGGGACUGAGACACGGCCCAGACUCCUACGGGAGGCAGCAGUGGGGAAUAUUGGACAAUGGGCGAAAGCCUGAUCCAGCAAUGCCGCGUGAGUGAUGAAGGCCUUAGGGUUGUAAAGCUCUUUUACCCGGGAUGAUAAUGACAGUACCGGGAGAAUAAGCCCCGGCUAACUUCGUGCCAGCAGCCGCUGUAAU